Molecule: transfer RNA, 74 nt
Filed under: Asanoa siamensis
Lineage: Bacteria; Bacillati; Actinomycetota; Actinomycetes; Micromonosporales; Micromonosporaceae
Description: tRNA-Pyl
Rfam family: tRNA
About the family: Transfer RNA (tRNA) molecules are approximately 80 nucleotides in length.
Source: RNAcentral
GCCCCAGAAGCCCGACGGCCGGGCAGCCGCCUCUAAAGCGGCCCGAAGCGGGUUCGACUCCUGCCUGGGGCGCC